GCCUGGGUGGCUCAGUCGGUUAAGCGACUGACUUUGACUCAGUUCAUGAUCUCAGGGUCAGGUCCGUGAGUUCGAGCCCCGCCUCGGGCU
This is a non-coding RNA of Herpailurus yagouaroundi (jaguarundi), 90 nucleotides long. The record is from the annotation of a RefSeq genome assembly. Lineage: Eukaryota; Metazoa; Chordata; Mammalia; Carnivora; Felidae.